This is a non-coding RNA of Physcomitrium patens, 2361 nucleotides long. NCBI's taxonomy places the organism in Eukaryota, Viridiplantae, Streptophyta, Bryopsida, Funariales, Funariaceae. The record is from RefSeq and is a predicted model, not a curated record.
UCUUUUUCUCUUUCUCUUCAUCACUUGCACCUCUUCACUCAGUCACCUCUCUAGUGUCAAAUGUAUCUGUUUUAGUGGGUGCCAUUGCCAGGUUUAAGGGGGUUUUAUACAUUAAACUGAGUUCCUUGUUGAGUUUUUACACAUGAGAGGGUUUUACGCCCAAAUUGUAAUUUUGUUUGGACAUUUCAGAGAGCCAAAAUUCAACACAAAUUGUGCUACAUUUGAAACUUGUUGAGGGGGGGUACAGGGCACCACACUAGCAAGACCUAGAAAAACAAAUGGCAAAAGAUGGUAAAGCCGGUGGCGUGGACGAGGUGGAUGCUCUCAAAGCGGCCAUGCUCGCAAAGGAUUUGGAGGUGAUAACAAUUCGGGACAAGAUGCAGCGUCUUGAGGAGAGAUCCUCAUUCAUUCUGAGCAACAUGGAAAAGCUGAGCAUUGGAUCGAGAGACAAGAUUGCCUCCUUGACCGAGAUCAUCGCAUUCCUCACCAGUGAAGGAAAUAAUAAAGAAAUAAAAAUUAAAGAAUUAGAGGUUGCUCUUGAUUUAUCAGAAAGAAGUAGAAAAGAGACAAUUGCUUGCAAGAAUGAGGAAAUGGUAGAACUGGCAAAUACCCAUGAAUUUCAAUUGAAUAAUAUGAAGUUGAAAUUAGAUGCUGUACAAGUGAGAUUAAGAGAACUCACCAAUUUCGCUGCCAAAAAAGAAGCCAUAGAAAAUGAAAAUGCAGUGUUAAAAGAACAAUUAUUGAAGGAGCAAAGGGAUCAUGUGGAGGCAAUUAGUGACGUUGAAAGAGUAUCAGUGCAAGAGAAAGAGCGUCUUAAAAAAGAAAUCAUACUUCGGGUGGAAGAAACAAAAAAAAGUUAUUCUGACGGUCUUCAAGACCAACUUCACAUUAAAACAAAAAUGACUAUUGCGGAAAAUGAACAAUUAAAAGCUGAGGUGGCAUACCACAUUCAUCAAACACAAAUUAUGUUUCAACUCAAUGAAAGUCUAGAUAAAGAAAAAUCCGAGGUUUCUCGCUCUCUCCAAUUAACUAAAGAGAAAAUAAUAAUUUUUAUUGGAAUUGGACUUAAAGUCAGAGGAAGAUGUGGUACGCAAAAAUUAUAUUUAUCAACAAACCAUUCAAGUAUUACUUCAUAAACUUCAAGAAAUCAAGAAAGAAAAACAAAAAAAUGACAUUAAUGUAGAGAAGAAAUUGAUGGACAUAAAAAAUUUACAAUCUUUACAAAAUAUAAAUAUUUUGACGAGAAUCAAAAAUAAGAAACAGGUGGUAAAUUUUUUGCAAAGCUGUCUUGAAGACAUUCAAUCCGACAGGAAUGCAGCAUGUUUCAAUGAAAAGCAAUAUGUCAAAGGUGAUCUGAUUCCAAUAAAAAAAUCAAACUUGAACAAAUCAAAUUCUGCUUCCAAAAAACUACAAAAAUUACUCAUAAAACUAUUUCAACAUUUGAAGCUAUUGAAAGUAAUCCCACGUAAUAUGCUUAAAGAUUCUUCAUCAAAUAUUGUAAACCAAUCAAAGAGAAAAACAAAUUUAGUGAAAAUACAUUCAAAGGUGUUUGUGGAUGACAUAUUGCAAAUGCCUUUUGAAAAGAUCUUGAAAGGACAUGAUUGAAUUACUUAUUAUCUAAAAGAAUUUGCAUUUUUAAAUGCAAAAAUUAUGUGUAUGUAUUCAUGUAUGUAAAUAAAGAUUAAAAGCCGUUUUUUAUUUUUAAUUUUUUAAAACUCAAUUUAUACAAAAAGAAUUCCAAUCAGAAUUAAAAUUUAAGUAGUAAAAUUACUCUUUAAUCACAAAUAAUUUUUUACUUUAAUAAAAUUCACAUGUGUGGAUUUCGGAAAAAAUAAUACAUCAAUACAUAUAUAUAUAUAUAUAUAUAUUAUUUUGUGGUUAAAAAAAUCUAUAUCAAUAUGGUAAAAUUCUAUGAGCACAUAAAGUAUCUUUUGUAAUUGUGUUCUUCAAAUCAAAAACAUUAAUAUCAAAAAUCAAGUAUCUAUGUGUGUUUUUUUACAUAUUUAUAUUGAGUACCUUAUUACAUCUCCAGCUUGAAACUUAAUUUAAUCUUCUGCUUUAUUUUUUGGUCAAACUAAAAACAUAAAAAAUAAAAAGGGUUCAUAAUUUUGUUCAGACAAGAAUGUUGCUUAGCAAUUUUUUUUGUAAUUUCGUUGAUCAAGAAGAAAAACAUUUGAGAUAAUGGAUUUUAACGAGUACAUACAUAUUUAUAAGUACAAUGUAAUAGAUUAUUCAAAAAUCCAUUCGUAUUUACAGUUGAGGAGUAAUUUUAAAAUGAGGGAAAAAUAUAUGUGUAUAUGGAAGACAUAAAAGUUUUCAAUAUAUUGUAACAAAAAUUUUAAAUUAUAUAAAUUCAAAAAA